Molecule: long non-coding RNA, 488 nt
Organism: Zophobas morio
Lineage: Eukaryota; Metazoa; Arthropoda; Insecta; Coleoptera; Tenebrionidae
Exons: 5
Source: RefSeq, a predicted model, not a curated record
UUGAACUCUAACUGGAAUUGUGUGGUCGAAACAAGAAUAGUGAAACAAACCCCAUUUUUCGCCAAAUUGGAGAAAAAUUGCUUCUGUCUGCAGAUUCCCAAGGAUCACUGAUAGAUUUCAAUUUGAGUGGAGAUGUAGUUGUCAGUAACGAAGAAAUCAUCAACGAUGCACAAAAUACCAGGGCCGUCUAAUGUAAGACCUACAUUACAUAACAGUUUACUUACCCAAAACGGACGUGGUUUGAAGCAUUUGCAAAUUUUGUCUGAAGAAAAAAAAUAAUUCAAGCGUUUUGGGCUUAAGGGACGCGCCAUAUCGUUUAAAUGUGUGGAACCUACGUCGGAAAAUUCAAUGCAAUUUGUGAAAAUUGGAAUUGGUAAACGCGUGGCGUGGACAGUGAUGAUUAUGCUGCCAUUUCAUUUAGGAAACUGCAUCAGUUGAAUGUUGAUAUAAUGAAAGUUGUAGCAUCAGUGUACCAGAGUAAUACUGGA